ACUUUCAAGAAAGGUAGUGGGAUUUCUGGGCAUCAGGAAAAAGAAAAAAUAGCGAGGAGGAGAUGCAACGGUUUGUCAAGAAGAUUGUGGAUCUGAUGCGAGAGGAAAUGCUGUUCUCCUGGCAAGGUGGUCCAAUCAUUAUGUUGCAGAUUGAGAAUGAAUAUGGAAACAUGGAAAGCUCAUAUGGCC
Long non-coding RNA from Pistacia vera, 189 nucleotides. RefSeq lists it as uncharacterized. The record is from RefSeq and is a predicted model, not a curated record. The transcript is spliced from 3 exons. Lineage: Eukaryota; Viridiplantae; Streptophyta; Magnoliopsida; Sapindales; Anacardiaceae.